RNAcentral lists this ribosomal RNA (463 nucleotides) under uncultured Sphingobacteriales bacterium. RNAcentral's name for it is "bacterial SSU rRNA". It matches the Rfam family "Bacterial small subunit ribosomal RNA", at positions 920 to 1382 of the family's 1533-position model. The record is from RNAcentral. Lineage: Bacteria; Pseudomonadati; Bacteroidota; Sphingobacteriia; Sphingobacteriales.
CCCGCACAAGCGGUGGAGCACGUGGUUUAAUUCGAUGCAAACCGAAGAACCUUACCUGGGUUUGACAUGCAGAGAACUUUCCAGAGAUGGAUUGGUGCCUUCGGGAACUCUGACACAGGUGCUGCAUGGCUGUCGUCAGCUCGUGUCGUGAGAUGUUGGGUUAAGUCCCGUAACGAGCGCAACCCCUAUCAUUAGUUGCCAUCAGGUCAAGCUGGGGACUCUAAAGGAACUGCCUACGCAAGUAGUGAGGAAGGCGGGGAUGACGUCAAAUCAGCACGGCCCUUACGUCCAGGGCUACACACGUGCUACAAUGGCCGAUACAGAGGGCAGCUACCUGGUGACAGGAUGCAAAUCUCCAAAGUCGGUCUCAGUUCGGAUCGGAGUCUGCAACCCGACUCCGUGAAGUUGGAUUCGCUAGUAAUCGCGCAUCAGCCAUGGCGCGGUGAAUACGUUCCCGGGCCUU